This 961-nucleotide ribosomal RNA is filed under the name uncultured bacterium. RNAcentral describes it as "bacterial SSU rRNA". It matches the Rfam family "Bacterial small subunit ribosomal RNA", at positions 549 to 1508 of the family's 1533-position model. The record is from RNAcentral.
AAUUAUUGGGCGUAAAGCGUCCGCAGGCGGCCCUUUCAAGUCUGCUGUUAAAAAGUGGAGCUUAACUCCAUCGUGGCAGUGGAAACUGUUGGGCUAGAGUGUGGUAGGGGCAGAGGGAAUUCCCGGUGUAGCGGUGAAAUGCGUAGAUAUCGGGAAGAACACCAGUGGCGAAGGCGCUCUGCUGGGCCAUAACUGACGCUCAUGGACGAAAGCCAGGGGAGCGAAAGGGAUUAGAUACCCCUGUAGUCCUGGCCGUAAACGAUGAACACCAGGUGUCGGGGGAAUCGACCCCCUCGGUGUCGUAGCCAACGCGUUAAGUGUUCCGCCUGGGGAGUACGCACGCAAGUGUGAAACUCAAAGGAAUUGACGGGGGCCCGCACAAGCGGUGGAGUAUGUGGUUUAAUUCGAUGCAACGCGAAGAACCUUACCAGGGUUUGACAUCCUGCGAAUCUCCUGGAAACGGGAGAGUGCCUUCGGGAACGCAGUGACAGGUGGUGCAUGGCUGUCGUCGGCUCGUGUCGUGAGAUGUUGGGUUAAGUCCCGCAACGAGCGCAACCCACGUCUUUAGUUGCCAGCAUUUAGUUGGGCACUCUAGAGAGACCGCCGGUGAUAAACCGGAGGAAGGUGUGGAUGACGUCAAGUCAUCAUGCCCCUUACAUCCUGGGCUACACACGUACUACAAUGCUACGGACAAAGGGCAGCAAACUCGCGAGAGCUAGCAAAUCCCAUAAACCGUGGCUCAGUUCAGAUCGUAGGCUGCAACUCGCCUACGUGAAGGAGGAAUCGCUAGUAAUCGCAGGUCAGCAUACUGCGGUGAAUACGUUCCCGGGCCUUGUACACACCGCCCGUCACACCAUGGAAGUUGGCCACGCCCGAAGCCGUUACUCCAACCCUUGUGGAGGAGGACGUCGAAGGUGGGGCUGAUGACUGGGGUGAAGUCGUAACAAGGUAGCCGUAAAUC